This 352-nucleotide long non-coding RNA is filed under the name Musa acuminata (dwarf banana). RNAcentral describes it as "long non-coding RNA (MACU_LNC008017)". Lineage: Eukaryota; Viridiplantae; Streptophyta; Magnoliopsida; Zingiberales; Musaceae. The record is from RNAcentral.
CCAUCGGCGACCUACCGCUCUCCGUUUCCGACCUUCCCAUGCUGUCGUGCCACUACAUCCAGAAGGGCCUUUUCUUCCCCAGACCGCCAGUUCCUGUAGCUUCUCUUCUUCCGCUCCUCACUUCGUGUCUUGCCCGCGUGCUCUCCCUCUUUCCCGCCCUCGCGGGCCGCCUCUCCACCCGCCCCGACGGCCGCAUCUUCAUCUCCUGCGACGACUCCGGUGCCGAAUUCUACCAUGCCGCCGCCCCCUCCCUUACACUCCCUCUUCUCCUACCCGACUCCGCCGACGUCCCCGCCGCUGUCAAGUUGCUCUUCCCCCUUGACGGCGCCCUCAGCUACCACGGUCACUUCCU